AGAGUUUGAUCCUGGCUCAGGACGAACGCUGGCGGCGUGCUUAAUACAUGCAAGUCGAGCGAGGUUACUGUUUUGGAUCCCUUCGGGGUGAAGAAGCUUUAACCUAGCGGCGGACGGGUGAGUAACGCGUGGGUAACCUACCCCAAAGUCCGGGAUAACAGCGGGAAACCGUUGCUAAUACCGGAUACUCCAUUUCUGGCGCAUGUCAGAGAUGGGAAAGGGUUUACCGAUGUCGGAUGGGCUCGCGUCCCAUUAGCUGGUUGGUGAGGUAACGGCUCACCAAGGCUGCGAUGGGUAGCUGGUCUGAGAGGACGAUCAGCCACACUGGAACUGAGACACGGUCCAGACUCCUACGGGAGGCAGCAGUGGGGAAUAUUGCACAAUGGGCGAAAGCCUGAUGCAGCGACGCCGCGUGGAGGAUGAAGGCCUUCGGGUCGUAAACUCCUGUCUGGGGGGAUGAACACUGACAGUACCCCCGGAGGAAGCCCCGGCUAACUACGUGCCAGCAGCCGCGGUAAU
Molecule: ribosomal RNA, 519 nt
Filed under: uncultured bacterium
Lineage: Bacteria
Description: bacterial SSU rRNA
Rfam family: Bacterial small subunit ribosomal RNA
Source: RNAcentral